RNAcentral lists this non-coding RNA (77 nucleotides) under chicken gut metagenome. RNAcentral describes it as "Glycine riboswitch". It matches the Rfam family "Glycine riboswitch aptamer", at positions 9 to 86 of the family's 94-position model. From Rfam's summary of the family: This family represents the bacterial glycine riboswitch. Glycine riboswitches usually consist of two metabolite-binding aptamers domains with similar structures in tandem. The aptamers cooperatively bind glycine to regulate the expression of downstream genes. The record is from RNAcentral.
AAACUCUGGAGAAUCUCAUUUUGAGUGCCGAAGGUGCAAGGUGAAAGCCGAAUCUCUCAGGCAAAAGGACAGAGACU